AACAAACGGUAAUUAAAGAAAAACGAAUAAAUAAAUAUCCUAUAACGACCUUCACUAACACUUGAAGGGAGUCCGGGUAGUGAACUACUCACAACUCUCUUGUUGAUAGAGAUCUGAAUCUUGGUCCUCUUGAUAUGAAAUUGUUAAUGAAAGGAUGAGUUACACUAGCCCAGUAAGAAUAUCACACUAAUCACAGGUACGAAAAACUGAAGAUUGGUAAAAAUAAGAAAA
This 231-nucleotide long non-coding RNA is filed under the name Carica papaya (papaya). Its description in RNAcentral is "long non-coding RNA (CPAP_LNC001249)". The record is from RNAcentral. Lineage: Eukaryota; Viridiplantae; Streptophyta; Magnoliopsida; Brassicales; Caricaceae.